RNAcentral lists this transfer RNA (71 nucleotides) under Marmota monax (woodchuck). Its description in RNAcentral is "tRNA.Thr". It matches the Rfam family "tRNA". From Rfam's summary of the family: Transfer RNA (tRNA) molecules are approximately 80 nucleotides in length. Lineage: Eukaryota; Metazoa; Chordata; Mammalia; Rodentia; Sciuridae. The record is from RNAcentral.
GGGGUUGUGGCUCAGUGAGAGAGUGCUUGCCUGGUGUGCAUAAGGCACUGGGUUCGAUCCCCAGCACCACA